Molecule: unclassified non-coding RNA, 310 nt
Filed under: uncultured Bordetella sp.
Lineage: Bacteria; Pseudomonadati; Pseudomonadota; Betaproteobacteria; Burkholderiales; Alcaligenaceae
Description: partial 16S-23S ribosomal RNA intergenic spacer
Rfam family: Bacterial small subunit ribosomal RNA
Source: RNAcentral
AGUUCGAUCAUGGCUCAGAUUGAACGCUGGCGGGAUGCUUUACGCAUGCAAGUCGAACGGCAGCACGGACUUCGGUCUGGUGGCGAGUGGCGAACGGGUGAGUAAUGUAUCGGAACGUGCCCUAGUAGCGGGGGGAUAACUACGCGAAAGCGUAGCUAAUACCGCAUGCGCCCUUCGGGGGAAAGCGGGGGACCUUCGGGCCUCGCACUAUUAAGAGCGGCCGAUAUCGGAUUGGCUAGUUGGUGGGGGUAACAGCUCCUGAGCAGCGAUCGUAGCUGGUUUGAGGAGGACGACCAACCACACUGGGACU